GCCUGUAGCUCAGCUGGUUAGAGCAGAGGACUCAUAAUCCUUUGGUCCCAGGUUCAAAUCCUGGUGGGC
RNAcentral lists this transfer RNA (69 nucleotides) under marine eukaryotic metagenome. It matches the Rfam family "tRNA". Rfam says of the family: Transfer RNA (tRNA) molecules are approximately 80 nucleotides in length. Their secondary structure includes four short double-helical elements and three loops (D, anti-codon, and T loops). The record is from RNAcentral.